RNAcentral lists this ribosomal RNA (465 nucleotides) under Vreelandella stevensii. RNAcentral describes it as "partial 16S ribosomal RNA". It matches the Rfam family "Bacterial small subunit ribosomal RNA", at positions 338 to 795 of the family's 1533-position model. The record is from RNAcentral. Lineage: Bacteria; Pseudomonadati; Pseudomonadota; Gammaproteobacteria; Oceanospirillales; Halomonadaceae.
CCUACGGGUGGCAGCAGUGGGGAAUAUUGGACAAUGGGCGAAAGCCUGAUCCAGCCAUGCCGCGUGUGUGAAGAAGGCCUUCGGGUUGUAAAGCACUUUCAGUGGGGAAGAAAGCCUUGGGGCUAAUACCCUCGAGGAAGGACAUCACCCACAGAAGAAGCACCGGCUAACUCCGUGCCAGCAGCCGCGGUAAUACGGAGGGUGCGAGCGUUAAUCGGAAUUACUGGGCGUAAAGCGCGCGUAGGCGGUCUGAUAAGCCGGUUGUGAAAGCCCCGGGCUCAACCUGGGAACGGCAUCCGGAACUGUCAGGCUAGAGUGCAGGAGAGGAAGGUAGAAUUCCCGGUGUAGCGGUGAAACGCGUAGAGAUCGGGAGGAAUACCAGUGGCGAAGGCGGCCUUCUGGACUGACACUGACGCUGAGGUGCGAAAGCGUGGGUAGCAAACAGGAUUAGAUACCCUUGUAGUC